CAUGAUGUAUGUACAACUUCCUAGGUCAAAGGGCAAGGUAAAAAAACUUUGGUUUCAGUUGACAACCCUGUGUCCUGUGGUGAAGAUCGUGUCCGCUCUAUAUCUUGAGAACCGUUAUGAUUUCAAAGUUUAUACUUGACAUGUAUAUAAACCAACACCAGAGGGUGUGUCAUAAUUUAUGAACGACUGCCUAGGGCAAAGUUCAAGGUCAAAAACUUUGGUUUCAGUUGACAACCCCAUGUCCUAUGGUAAAGAUUGUGUCCGCUCUAUAUCUUGAGAACCGUUAUCAUUUCCAAGUUUAUACUUGACAUGUAUAUAAACCAACACCAAAGGGUGUGUCAUAAUUUAUGUGCAACUUCCUAGGUCAAAGGUCAAGGUCAAAAACUUUGGUUUCAGUUGACAACCCCAUGUCCUAUGGUAAAGAUCGUGUCCGC
RNAcentral lists this long non-coding RNA (434 nucleotides) under Mytilus galloprovincialis (Mediterranean mussel). Lineage: Eukaryota; Metazoa; Mollusca; Bivalvia; Mytilida; Mytilidae. The record is from RNAcentral.